GACGUAGGGCGCGAGCGUUGUCCGGAUUUAUUGGGCGUAAAGAGCUCGUAGGCGGCUUGUCGCGUCGAAUGUGAAAUCUCAGGGCUCAACUCUGACAUUGCAUUCGAUACGGGCAGGCUCGAGUUCGGUAGGGGAGACUGGAAUUCCUGGUGUAGCGGUGAAAUGCGCAGAUAUCAGGAGGAACACCGGUGGCGAAGGCGGAUCUCUGGGCCAUUACUGACGCUGAGGAGCGAAAGCGUGGGGAGCGAACAGG
RNAcentral lists this ribosomal RNA (253 nucleotides) under uncultured bacterium. Its description in RNAcentral is "partial 16S ribosomal RNA". It matches the Rfam family "Bacterial small subunit ribosomal RNA", at positions 524 to 776 of the family's 1533-position model. The record is from RNAcentral.